CCUACGGGAGGCAGCAGUGGGGAAUAUUGGACAAUGGGCGAAAGCCUGAUCCAGCAAUACCGCGUGUGUGAAGAAGGCCUGAGGGUUGUAAAGCACUUUCAAUGGGAAGGAAUACCUGGUAGCUAAUACCUAUCAGACUGACAUUACCCACACAAGAAGCACCGGCUAACUCCGUGCCAGCAGCCGCGGUAAU
This 193-nucleotide ribosomal RNA is filed under the name uncultured Methylococcaceae bacterium. RNAcentral describes it as "partial 16S ribosomal RNA". It matches the Rfam family "Bacterial small subunit ribosomal RNA", at positions 338 to 524 of the family's 1533-position model. The record is from RNAcentral. Lineage: Bacteria; Pseudomonadati; Pseudomonadota; Gammaproteobacteria; Methylococcales; Methylococcaceae.